Molecule: ribosomal RNA, 426 nt
Filed under: uncultured bacterium
Lineage: Bacteria
Description: bacterial SSU rRNA
Rfam family: Bacterial small subunit ribosomal RNA
Source: RNAcentral
GGGCCCGCACAAGCGGUGGAGUAUGUGGUUUAAUUCGAUGCAACGCGAAGAACCUUACCAGGGUUUGACAUCCUGCGAAUCUCUUGGAAACAGGAGAGUGCCUUCGGGAACGCAGUGACAGGUGGUGCAUGGCUGUCGUCAGCUCGUGUCGUGAGAUGUUGGGUUAAGUCCCGCAACGAGCGCAACCCACGUCUUUAGUUGCCAGCAUUUAGUUGGGCACUUUAAAAGAACUGCCAGUGAUAAGCUGGAGGAAGGUGGGGAUGACGUCAAGUCCUCAUGGCCCUUACGUGUAGGGCUACACACGUGCUACAAUGGCGCAUACAGAGUGCUGCGAGCCUGCGAGGGUGAGCGAAUCACUUAAAGUGCGUCGUAGUCCGGAUUGGAGUCUGCAACUCGACUCCAUGAAGUCGGAAUCGCUAGUAAUCG